Molecule: ribosomal RNA, 253 nt
Filed under: uncultured bacterium
Lineage: Bacteria
Description: partial 16S ribosomal RNA
Rfam family: Bacterial small subunit ribosomal RNA
Source: RNAcentral
UACGUAGGGUGCAAGCGUUGUCCGGAAUCAUUGGGCGUAAAGAGCUUGUAGGCGGUCCGUUAAGUCGGCUGUGAAAGCCCAGGGCUCAACCCUGGAAGGCCGGUGGAAACUGUCGGGCUAGAGUCCGGAAGAGGCGAGUGGAAUUCCCGGUGUAGCGGUGAAAUGCGCAGAUAUCGGGAGGAACACCGAUGGCGAAGGCAGCUCGCUGGGCCGGUACUGACGCUGAGACGCGAAAGCGUGGGGAGCAAACAGG